AUAAGAGGAGGGAGGGAAAAAGAAGAGACAGAGGAUGAGGGUGUCUACUAUGUCUUUUCUGUAUUUGACAAGGAACGGUAGCCCUGAAAGCUUAGCAAUGUGGUGCCCUAACAAGACCUGCACAGUGAAAACACCAGUUACCAUCACAACACAGAAGGGAAAACGUCACAGGACCCCAGCCCUGCGCGCGCGCACACACACACACACACACCACACAGUGCAUAACAUAAAUGGACUCAGUGGCUUGUAUUUAUAAAUAGUGUGUGAUUAUAUUUGUUUUCCUGUAGUUUAUGUGCAGGUAUGUAUAUGUGUAUAAAACAGUAACUAACUAAAUCAUGAAGAAGUCAUCAGUAGGACAUGGGAAGAAUUGGAGGAAGACGAGAGUACUCUGAAAGUUAUAUUAAUACAGUACUUAUGUAAUUCUUAAAAAUUAAUAAAUAAAUGAAAAAUGUUAGUAAUGAAUCCUCACAUUCCUAACUUGGCAUCAAUAACUAAGAACUUGUGGAUGGUCUUAUUUUCUUUAUGCAUCUUGUUUUAUUUUGACGUAAAUUAUAGGUAUUAUACAAUGUCAUCUGUUAGUAUUUUAAAUGUACACACUCACUCUAGAUGUAAUUUUACUUAACUUUAUUUUACAUCUGUUGUACUUUGACUGAAGUCACAUACUUCCAUUACAAUAUACUUAGAAUAUUACGUCUCAGCAUUAGCCAAGAUUAUCAUUACUUAAUUUGCUGUUUCAAAAUUAGUCCUAUAAGAAGUUAAUUGUACUAAACUAUUUCC
RNAcentral lists this long non-coding RNA (777 nucleotides) under Mus musculus (house mouse). Its description in RNAcentral is "long non-coding RNA chr2:49171327-49172104". Lineage: Eukaryota; Metazoa; Chordata; Mammalia; Rodentia; Muridae. The record is from RNAcentral.